CCCUUAGAUGUUCUGGGCCGCACGCGCGCUACACUGAUGCAUUCAACGAGUUUCUUCCUGGUCCGAGAGGAAUGGGUAACCUUUUGAAAGUGCAUCGUGAUAGGGAUAGACUAUUGCAAUUAUUGGUCUUCAACGAGGAAUUCCUAGUAGACGUAGUUCAUCAGACUGCAUCGAUUACGUCCCUGCCCUUUGUACACACCGCCCGUCGCUCCUACCGAUUGAAUGCUCAGGUGAGCCAUUCGGACUUUCAUCAUGCUGGUUUCCAGUUUUGAUGAAGGCAAGUCUUGCGAACCUUAUCAUUUAGAGGAAGGAGAAGUCGUAACA
This 324-nucleotide ribosomal RNA is filed under the name uncultured eukaryote. Its description in RNAcentral is "partial 18S ribosomal RNA". It matches the Rfam family "Eukaryotic small subunit ribosomal RNA", at positions 1470 to 1796 of the family's 1831-position model. The record is from RNAcentral.